RNAcentral lists this ribosomal RNA (729 nucleotides) under Vibrio parahaemolyticus. Its description in RNAcentral is "bacterial SSU rRNA". It matches the Rfam family "Bacterial small subunit ribosomal RNA", at positions 1 to 709 of the family's 1533-position model. Lineage: Bacteria; Pseudomonadati; Pseudomonadota; Gammaproteobacteria; Vibrionales; Vibrionaceae. The record is from RNAcentral.
AAAUUGAAGAGUUUGAUCAUGGCUCAGAUUGAACGCUGGCGGCAGGCCUAACACAUGCAAGUCGAGCGGAAACGAGUUAUCUGAACCUUCGGGGAACGAUAACGGCGUCGAGCGGCGGACGGGUGAGUAAUGCCUAGGAAAUUGCCCUGAUGUGGGGGAUAACCAUUGGAAACGAUGGCUAAUACCGCAUGAUGCCUACGGGCCAAAGAGGGGGACCUUCGGGCCUCUCGCGUCAGGAUAUGCCUAGGUGGGAUUAGCUAGUUGGUGAGGUAAGGGCUCACCAAGGCGACGAUCCCUAGCUGGUCUGAGAGGAUGAUCAGCCACACUGGAACUGAGACACGGUCCAGACUCCUACGGGAGGCAGCAGUGGGGAAUAUUGCACAAUGGGCGCAAGCCUGAUGCAGCCAUGCCGCGUGUGUGAAGAAGGCCUUCGGGUUGUAAAGCACUUUCAGUCGUGAGGAAGGUAGUGUAGUUAAUAGCUGCAUUAUUUGACGUUAGCGACAGAAGAAGCACCGGCUAACUCCGUGCCAGCAGCCGCGGUAAUACGGAGGGUGCGAGCGUUAAUCGGAAUUACUGGGCGUAAAGCGCAUGCAGGUGGUUUGUUAAGUCAGAUGUGAAAGCCCGGGGCUCAACCUCGGAAUUGCAUUUGAAACUGGCAGACUAGAGUACUGUAGAGGGGGGUAGAAUUUCAGGUGUAGCGGUGAAAUGCGUAGAGAUCUGAAGGAAUAC